CCCUUAGAUGUUCUGGGCUGCACGCGCGCUACACUGAUGCAUGCAACGAGUUUUCGACCUUGCCUGAAAAGGUUGGGUAAUCUGUUUAACAUGUGUCGUGAUGGGGAUAGACCAUUGCAAUUAUUGAUCUUCAACGAGGAAUUCCUAGUAAGCGCGAGUCAUCAGCUCGUGCUGAUUAUGUCCCUGCCCUUUGUACACACCGCCCGUCGCUCCUACCGCUUGAGUGAUCCGGUGAAUGAUUCGGACCAGCGUGCUGCUCAGAUCCUGCGCAGUGUGCUGGGAAGUCUAGUGAACCUUAUCACUUAGAGGAAGGAGAAGUCGUAACA
This 326-nucleotide ribosomal RNA is filed under the name uncultured eukaryote. Its description in RNAcentral is "partial 18S ribosomal RNA". It matches the Rfam family "Eukaryotic small subunit ribosomal RNA", at positions 1470 to 1796 of the family's 1831-position model. The record is from RNAcentral.